GGGCCAACCUAGGUUAGUUUCGAAACUUUUUGCCAUUUUUCUGUUCUUUCUUCUUCGUAUUCCGUUUGUUUAGCUCCCUCGAGAGCUUGUUCACUGUUUUUUUUUAUUUUAUUUUCGAGAUUUUUUGUGGCUUCUAUUUGAUCCAAAAUAUCUUCCGAUAUCUCCUCUUCUAGUGGUUCUAGGAGAUCGUCAGCCCCAGUUUCUCAGAGUCCUUGUACCGUAGAUGGACCCAUAGUCGGGACUGAACCUCGUCUGGUCUUUGCACCGGACACCAUCCCCAGCUCUUUGACUCUGGAUGAGC
This 301-nucleotide long non-coding RNA is filed under the name Elaeis guineensis (African oil palm). RNAcentral's name for it is "long non-coding RNA (EGUI_LNC066161)". The record is from RNAcentral. Lineage: Eukaryota; Viridiplantae; Streptophyta; Magnoliopsida; Arecales; Arecaceae.